Molecule: ribosomal RNA, 546 nt
Filed under: uncultured bacterium
Lineage: Bacteria
Description: bacterial SSU rRNA
Rfam family: Bacterial small subunit ribosomal RNA
Source: RNAcentral
GUAGGGGAUAACACUUGGAAACAGGUGCUAAUACCGUAUAACAACCAAAACCACCUGGUUUUGGUUUAAAAGAUGGCUUCGGCUAUCACUUUAGGAUGGACCCGCGGCGUAUUAGCUUGUUGGUAAGGUAACGGCCUACCAAGGCAAUGAUACGUAGCCGACCUGAGAGGGUAAUCGGCCACAUUGGGACUGAGACACGGCCCAAACUCCUACGGGAGGCAGCAGUAGGGAAUCUUCCACAAUGGACGCAAGUCUGAUGGAGCAACGCCGCGUGAGUGAAGAAGGCUUUCGGGUCGUAAAACUCUGUUGUUGGAGAAGAAUGGUCGGCAGAGUAACUGUUGUCGGCGUGACGGUAUCCAACCAGAAAGCCACGGCUAACUACGUGCCAGCAGCCGCGGUAAUACGUAGGUGGCAAGCGUUAUCCGGAUUUAUUGGGCGUAAAGCGAGCGCAGGCGGUUUUUUAAGUCUGAUGUGAAAGCCCUCGGCUUAACCGAGGAAGCGCAUCGGAAACUGGGAAACUUGAGUGCACAAGAGGACAGUGGAACU